This 460-nucleotide ribosomal RNA is filed under the name uncultured bacterium. RNAcentral describes it as "partial 16S ribosomal RNA". It matches the Rfam family "Bacterial small subunit ribosomal RNA", at positions 338 to 795 of the family's 1533-position model. The record is from RNAcentral.
CCUACGGGGGGCUGCAGUGAGGAAUAUUGGUCAAUGGACGAGAGUCUGAACCAGCCAAGUAGCGUGAAGGAUGACUGCCCUAUGGGUUGUAAACUUCUUUUAUAUGGGAAUAAAAUGUUCCACGUGUGGGAUUUUGUAUGUACCAUAUGAAUAAGGAUCGGCUAACUCCGUGCCAGCAGCCGCGGUAAUACGGAGGAUCCGAGCGUUAUCCGGACUUAUUGGGUUUAAAGGGAGCGUAGGUGGAUUGUUAAGUCAGUUGUGAAAGUUUGCGGCUCAACCGUAAAAUUGCAGUUGAAACUGGCAGUCUUGAGUACAGUAGAGGUGGGCGGAAUUCGUGGUGUAGCGGUGAAAUGCUUAGAUAUAACGAAGAACUCCGAUGGCGAAGGCAGUUCACUGGACUGCAACUGACACUGAGGCUCGAAAGUGUGGGUAUCAAACAGGAUUAGAUACCCGAGUAGUC